Molecule: unclassified non-coding RNA, 1828 nt
Filed under: Homo sapiens (human)
Lineage: Eukaryota; Metazoa; Chordata; Mammalia; Primates; Hominidae
Source: RNAcentral
CUACAAGGAGGCAGGCAAGACAGCAAGGCAUAGAGACAACAUAGAGCUAAGUAAAGCCAGUGGAAAUGAAGAGUCUUCCAAUCCUACUGUUGCUGUGCGUGGCAGUUUGCUCAGCCUAUCCAUUGGAUGGAGCUGCAAGGGGUGAGGACACCAGCAUGAACCUUGUUCAGAAAUAUCUAGAAAACUACUACGACCUCAAAAAAGAUGUGAAACAGUUUGUUAGGAGAAAGGACAGUGGUCCUGUUGUUAAAAAAAUCCGAGAAAUGCAGAAGUUCCUUGGAUUGGAGGUGACGGGGAAGCUGGACUCCGACACUCUGGAGGUGAUGCGCAAGCCCAGGUGUGGAGUUCCUGAUGUUGGUCACUUCAGAACCUUUCCUGGCAUCCCGAAGUGGAGGAAAACCCACCUUACAUACAGGAUUGUGAAUUAUACACCAGAUUUGCCAAAAGAUGCUGUUGAUUCUGCUGUUGAGAAAGCUCUGAAAGUCUGGGAAGAGGUGACUCCACUCACAUUCUCCAGGCUGUAUGAAGGAGAGGCUGAUAUAAUGAUCUCUUUUGCAGUUAGAGAACAUGGAGACUUUUACCCUUUUGAUGGACCUGGAAAUGUUUUGGCCCAUGCCUAUGCCCCUGGGCCAGGGAUUAAUGGAGAUGCCCACUUUGAUGAUGAUGAACAAUGGACAAAGGAUACAACAGGGACCAAUUUAUUUCUCGUUGCUGCUCAUGAAAUUGGCCACUCCCUGGGUCUCUUUCACUCAGCCAACACUGAAGCUUUGAUGUACCCACUCUAUCACUCACUCACAGACCUGACUCGGUUCCGCCUGUCUCAAGAUGAUAUAAAUGGCAUUCAGUCCCUCUAUGGACCUCCCCCUGACUCCCCUGAGACCCCCCUGGUACCCACGGAACCUGUCCCUCCAGAACCUGGGACGCCAGCCAACUGUGAUCCUGCUUUGUCCUUUGAUGCUGUCAGCACUCUGAGGGGAGAAAUCCUGAUCUUUAAAGACAGGCACUUUUGGCGCAAAUCCCUCAGGAAGCUUGAACCUGAAUUGCAUUUGAUCUCUUCAUUUUGGCCAUCUCUUCCUUCAGGCGUGGAUGCCGCAUAUGAAGUUACUAGCAAGGACCUCGUUUUCAUUUUUAAAGGAAAUCAAUUCUGGGCUAUCAGAGGAAAUGAGGUACGAGCUGGAUACCCAAGAGGCAUCCACACCCUAGGUUUCCCUCCAACCGUGAGGAAAAUCGAUGCAGCCAUUUCUGAUAAGGAAAAGAACAAAACAUAUUUCUUUGUAGAGGACAAAUACUGGAGAUUUGAUGAGAAGAGAAAUUCCAUGGAGCCAGGCUUUCCCAAGCAAAUAGCUGAAGACUUUCCAGGGAUUGACUCAAAGAUUGAUGCUGUUUUUGAAGAAUUUGGGUUCUUUUAUUUCUUUACUGGAUCUUCACAGUUGGAGUUUGACCCAAAUGCAAAGAAAGUGACACACACUUUGAAGAGUAACAGCUGGCUUAAUUGUUGAAAGAGAUAUGUAGAAGGCACAAUAUGGGCACUUUAAAUGAAGCUAAUAAUUCUUCACCUAAGUCUCUGUGAAUUGAAAUGUUCGUUUUCUCCUGCCUGUGCUGUGACUCGAGUCACACUCAAGGGAACUUGAGCGUGAAUCUGUAUCUUGCCGGUCAUUUUUAUGUUAUUACAGGGCAUUCAAAUGGGCUGCUGCUUAGCUUGCACCUUGUCACAUAGAGUGAUCUUUCCCAAGAGAAGGGGAAGCACUCGUGUGCAACAGACAAGUGACUGUAUCUGUGUAGACUAUUUGCUUAUUUAAUAAAGACGAUUUGUCAGUUAUUUUAUCUU